GUCUAUGGCCAUGCCACCCUGAACAAGCCCAAUCCUGUCUGAUCUCAUAAGCUAAGCAGGGUCGGGCCUGGUAGUACUUGGAUGGGAGACCACCUAGGAAGACCAGGUGCUGUAGGCG
Molecule: ribosomal RNA, 118 nt
Filed under: Pteropus alecto (black flying fox)
Lineage: Eukaryota; Metazoa; Chordata; Mammalia; Chiroptera; Pteropodidae
Source: RNAcentral